CCCCAGUGCCCAGCUGCUCUGAGCCGCAGAGCCAAUGUUGCUGCAGUCAGUCCAGAGAGCAAGAGGAGGGCGGGCGGUGAUCUCCCUGCAGCUCCCCCUUCAGCAGCUACCGGACGUGCGCGCGCGCGGGACAGUAGGGAAUCCUUUUGUAUACGUAAGAUCCAGGAAACGAAACCAGAGCCUCCAUUCAGCGCCAAGGUCGCUAAGAGGACCGUCCCUGGUGACUUCCGGGGAGGCUGUGUAACCGGACACGCAGGGGCCACCCAGGGGCCAAAGGCAGCAGAGCCACCGCCUGCGCCUGGGUUCCCUUUUCUGGUCAGCGCAGGGCGGUCACGGAGCAGCGGCAGCCACAGAACUUUUAUAAUCAUGGACAAACAAAAUGCACAAAUGAAUGCUCCUCACCCAGGAACAAAUUUCCCAGCUGGGUAUCAUCCUCAAUAUCCUCCGGCAGCAUUCCAAGGACCUCCAGGACAUACUGGCUACCCUGGCUUGCAAUCUGCCUAUCCUGGGAUGCUAGCAGGCUAUCCUGUCCCCCAGGCUGACUAUUCAGUCCCACCACCUGGCUGUUCAAGUGCUGGUCCAGUGGGCUUUCCUGUCCAACACCAGCCAGUGUAUAAUCAGCCAGUUGGACCUGCAGGGGUACCAUGGAUGCCAGCACCACCACCUCCAUCAGACUGUCCACCAGGGUUGGAAUAUUUAAGUCAGAUAGAUCAGAUACUGAUUCAUCAGCAAGUUGAGCUUCUAGAAGUCUUAAUAGGUUUUGAAACAAAUAACAAAUAUGAAAUUAAGAACAGCCUUGGACAGAGGAUUUACUUUGCCGUGGAAGAUACUGAUUGCUGUACCCGAAAUUGCUGUGGGGCUAAUAGGUCUUUUACCAUGAGGAUUCUUGAUCUUAUGGGCCGAGAGGUCAUAACUCUGGAGAGACCACUAAGAUGUACCAGCUGUUGUUGCCCCUGCUGCCUUCAGGAGAUAGAAAUUUAUGCUCCUCCUGGUGUACCAGUGGGUUAUGUUAUUCAAAAUUGGCACCCAUGCCUGCCAAAGUUAACCAUUCAAAAUGAGAGGAGAGAGGAUGUACUCAAAAUUAUUGGUCCAUGUCUUGUGUGCGGCUGUUGUGCAGAUGUUGAUUUUGAGAUUAAAUCUCUUGAUGAAGAAAAUGUGGUUGGCAAGAUUUCCAAGCAAUGGACUGGUUUUGUGAGAGAGGCAUUUACAGACGCUGAUAACUUUGGGAUCCAGUUCCCUUUAGACCUUGAUGUGAAAAUGAAAGCUGUGUUGCUUGGCGCAUGUUUCCUCAUUGACUUCAUGUUUUUUGAAAGCACUGGAGCCAAAGAACAGAGAGCAGGAGUAUGGUAGUGGAUUAAUAAAGAUCUCUGAAAAUGUGAAGUCUGAAUAUUGAUUGGGACUAUGUACAAGGAAAUUUGGAUUGAGUGAGAAGAGAUGUCCAACCUAUCAUUCAACUCAUGCAAAGGAAAAUAGUGCUUGGACAUAAGGGCUUAGGGGAGAGACUCCCUUUCAUCUUUAGCAGAACUCCACUAAUAGGCACCACUCCUAAUGAUAAACGUAAGCAACAACAACAUACAACCAACACCACUAGCUUCUAAUGUUGAGAACAUUGGGAUGUCAGGGGAGCUACAGGAAAAGCCAAGUCUAGACCAUUUGCUUCUAAAUACCAUUCUCCACUAGAACUGGGAGAAAUGGUUAUACUCAGACAUGUCAGACACAAGUGUAAGAUGAGUCUUGAACAACUUAUGGAAAGGACAAGGUGAUGCUCAAGGAAUAAUGAUGGGAUAUCAAAGGGAUGAAGAUACCAAAUUGAAAGGACUCCCGUCAACAAAAUAAGUGAAUUAGAGCAGCAAAAUAUUUAUAAUUUAUCUAUUGAAUAAAUUAGGACACCAUACAUCCCUACUGAUAGAAAUGCGUAAAUUAAAAGUUUGAUGAGUACAAACAUACAUAUAGUUUUAAGUUACAUUCCACAAUAUCCUUUUAAUUUU
Molecule: RNA transcript, 1988 nt
Organism: Myotis brandtii (Brandt's bat)
Lineage: Eukaryota; Metazoa; Chordata; Mammalia; Chiroptera; Vespertilionidae
Gene: PLSCR1
Gene name: phospholipid scramblase 1
Exons: 10
Source: RefSeq, a predicted model, not a curated record